CUUUCUUACGCAUAAUAGACCACCUCUAUACAUUUUACUGUUCCUGUUGAAUUUGAAACAGGUAUAGAAAAACGUGUUAAAUAGUUUUUCAGUUCCUAUUAAAUUACAUUCUUAAAAGCACUACUCAACUUCAAUAAAAAAACCGUUGUUUGGAAAUGCUAUUCGUGCUGUAAAAAUAUAAAUCUCACUUUCAAAUGGCGGUUUAAUGGAGAUAAACGUCGCCAUGAGAUAUAUUACAUAUAGU
Non-coding RNA from Clostridium cadaveris, 244 nucleotides. Lineage: Bacteria; Bacillati; Bacillota; Clostridia; Eubacteriales; Clostridiaceae. The record is from Rfam.